Stegostoma tigrinum is the source of this 1697-nucleotide long non-coding RNA. RefSeq lists it as uncharacterized. The transcript is spliced from 4 exons. Lineage: Eukaryota; Metazoa; Chordata; Chondrichthyes; Orectolobiformes; Stegostomatidae. The record is from RefSeq and is a predicted model, not a curated record.
CUUGCCCUGUACUGUACACGGCGUUUCCGCGCUCACUCUGAUCCGUAGCCAAAUAUUAAAAGAGGUUCCUGCACUACCAAGUAUUUUAACAUGUUGAAUCUUUUCGAAGGAGCAGAGAGAGACAUAACAGGCAGAGUGGGUUUUUUUUGGGAGGGGGUCAUCUAAACUUGUAUGCUUUACUACGAAAAUACCAUCUUGCCCUAGAGGGACAGUUUACUUCACGGCAUUUUGACGGUUGUGGAUUGGUGUGUCUAUAUAUAUGUGUGUGCGUGUGUGUUGGGGGAGGGGGUGAGUGCUGAAGGAGGUUAUGUCAAGAAAUAAGGCAUCCUCUGUGGAUGGGUUAAAGAAGAGUUUGUGCGACAAUUUAUCCAAUCAUUUCAGGAUCACGUUCUGGAGCAUAUACAGAAAAAUCCAUGUUAGAGCCUACUUACAGCACCGGUACUCUUAUUUGUGCGUCAGGGUAUUGCUAUAGUUCCGUGAAGUAUUGACGAUCGCCUGUAGUUUGCUGUAUUUACUUUGCGAUGUGAUUUUGAUACUUUCCGUCUAUGAUUAGGCCGCGCAGUUUUUAUCUAGGACAUAAAGAGCAAGCUCUUAACUCAGAUCAAACUUUAUUGGAAAGCUGUUGUAGCGUUUAUAUAAAUAACCGAAAUGUUUAACGGCUUCGUUUUUCAGUGUUUUGCGUUUAAAAUUUAAAUUAUGAUGAAGAUAACACCAGCUAAUUACGUGCAUUCUGUGUUGAGGCUGAACUAAAUGACUUAUGUAAGUUGCAUUUUUAGCUUUAAAAAGAAUUAGAACUGCAAUUGAGAAGUGUGUAGAAUUAUACACGUCAGGGUCCAGACUGAAUCGCAAAUGAAUUACUAAGCAGAACGUCUAUCUCAAGCAUGAAACGAGCUAAAGCUUACCCACGGGGACUGUGAUCUUGAUCAAAAUGAUGCCGCUGUUUUGGGUUUUGUUUGAUCUGCUGUGAGAAAUAACGAAGCUGCCCGGGAGAGUUACUUACAAUUAUUGUGAGUCUGUUUGAGAGCAGUUUGAUUCGAAAGCAUUUGGAGAACUGCCGGGCCUCUCACAGAGAUUCGGAAGGGUGAAAGCAAUAACAGCACCGGCGGCGGCACUGUUUGAGAGAGGAGCAGGCUGCGGAAGAUGAAUGCUCCAUCUGGGAUACAGGAUUUUAAUUAGAGUGAUUGUGCUCAGAUCGCCCUCAUUCAUUCAUCAGCUGAUCAGAAGGGGGCGCAUCAGAACGGUUUUUAAAAUAUAAAUCUAAAGUGUGACAAUUCUUGGAAGAAUGAUUUCCGGAACUCAACCAUUUGUCAGCAUGCGAAUCACUGACACGCAACAAUUUGUGGAAUUGGCUCAGGAUGUAACUCCUCCUGCAGUAUCGAGGGAGCGACUGUGCAGGAUUUGUCAUUUGGGCUGGGAACUUUGAAGUUAACUAAGAAGACAACUUUUAAUGUAUUUAUUUGCUAAAUUUCGUCUGAUUAUUUUCAAUUUAGUGUCAAAUUACCUAAUAACUAAUCAUCAAUGGGUUCUAAACUAGCAACAGUGGAACUGAAAUAUUAAUGUUUAAAACAAAUUGGAAUGAAGCAAGUUUCCAUUUUAAAAUGGAGAUUACUAUAAGUCUCAUCAAAGGAUUGUAGUGUGCCCUGAUACAAUUGCAAAAUAGCUUACUGUUUUGUGCCUGUACAUUUUAGUUUUGUGUA